CAGGGAAUCUUGCACAAUGGGCGAAAGCCUGAUGCAGCGACGCCGCGUGGGGGAUGAAGGCCUUAGGGUCGUAAACCCCUUUCAGCAGGGACGAAAAUGACGGUACCUGCAGAAGAAGCCCCGGCCAACUACGUGCCAGCAGCCGCGGUAAGACGUAGGGGGCGAGCGUUGUCCGGAUUUAUUGGGCGUAAAGAGCUCGUAGGCGGUUGCGUAAGUCGGAUGUGAAAACUCAGGGCUCAACCCUGAGACGCCAUCCGAUACUGCGCUGACUUGAAUCCAGUAGGGGAGUGUGGAAUUCCUGGUGUAGCGGUGAAAUGCGCAGAUAUCAGGAGGAACACCCAUGGCGAAGGCAGCACUCUGGGCUGGUAUUGACGCUGAGGAGCGAAAGCAUGGGUAGCGAACAGGAUUAGAUACCCCUGUAGUCCCUGAGCGGGCUGGCAAGGCGCAU
Molecule: ribosomal RNA, 448 nt
Filed under: uncultured bacterium
Lineage: Bacteria
Description: bacterial SSU rRNA
Rfam family: Bacterial small subunit ribosomal RNA
Source: RNAcentral